GGUUAAGCGACUAAGCGUACACGGUGGAUGCCCUGGCAGUCAGAGGCGAUGAAGGACGUGCUAAUCUGCGAAAAGCGCCGGCGAGGUGAUAUGAACCCUUGACCCGGCGAUGUCCGAAUGGGGAAACCCAGUGCAAUCCGUUGCACUAUCGUUAACUGAAUACAUAGGUUAACGAGGCGAACCGGGGGAACUGAAACAUCUAAGUACCCCGAGGAAAAGAAAUCAACCGAGAUUCCCCCAGUAGCGGCGAGCGAACGGGGAGCAGCCCGGAGUCUGAAUCAGCUUGUGUGUUAGUGGAACGGUCUGGAAAGUCCGACGGUACAGGGUGAUAGUCCCGUACACGAAAAUGCACAUGCUGUGAACUCGAAGAGUAGGGCGGGACACGUGGUAUCCUGUCUGAAUAUGGGGGGACCAUCCUCCAAGGCUAAAUACUCCUGACUGACCGAUAGUGAACCAGUACCGUGAGGGAAAGGCGAAAAGAACCCCGGCGAGGGGAGUGAAAAAGAACCUGAAACCGUGUACGUACAAGCAGUGGGAGCCUCUUUAUGGGGUGACUGCGUACCUUUUGUAUAAUGGGUCAGCGACUUAUAUUCUGUAGCAAGGUUAACCGUAUAGGGGAGCCGAAGGGAAACCGAGUCUUAACUGGGCGUUAAGUUGCAGGGUAUAGACCCGAAACCCGGUGAUCUAGCCAUGGGCAGGUUGAAGGUUGGGUAACACUAACUGGAGGACCGAACCGACUAAUGUUGAAAAAUUAGCGGAUGACCUGUGGCUGGGGGUGAAAGGCCAAUCAAACCGGGAGAUAGCUGGUUCUCCCCGAAAGCUAUUUAGGUAGCGCCUCGUGAACUCAUCUUCGGGGGUAGAGCACUGUUUCGGCUAGGGGGCCAUCCCGGCUUACCAACCCGAUGCAAACUACGAAUACCGAAGAAUGUUAUCACGGGAGACACACGGCGGGUGCUAACGUCCGUCGUGAAGAGGGAAACAACCCAGACCGCCAGCUAAGGUCCCAAAGUCAUGGUUAAGUGGGAAACGAUGUGGGAAGGCACAGACAGCCAGGAUGUUGGCUUAGAAGCAGCCAUCAUUUAAAGAAAGCGUAAUAGCUCACUGGUCGAGUCGGCCUGCGCGGAAGAUGUAACGGGGCUAAACCAUGCACCGAAGCUGCGGCAGCGACACUAUGUGUUGUUGGGUAGGGGAGCGUUCUGUAAGCCGUUGAAGGUGUGCUGUGAGGCAUGCUGGAGGUAUCAGAAGUGCGAAUGCUGACAUAAGUAACGAUAAAGCGGGUGAAAAGCCCGCUCGCCGGAAGACCAAGGGUUCCUGUCCAACGUUAAUCGGGGCAGGGUGAGUCGACCCCUAAGGCGAGGCCGAAAGGCGUAGUCGAUGGGAAACAGGUUAAUAUUCCUGUACUUGGUGUUACUGCGAAGGGGGGACGGAGAAGGCUAUGUCAGCCGGGCGACGGUUGUCCCGGUUUAAGCAUGUAGGCGGAGGUUCCAGGUAAAUCCGGUACCUUUUAACGCUGAGGUGUGAUGACGAGGCACUACGGUGCUGAAGUGAUAAAUGCCCUGCUUCCAGGAAAAGCCUCUAAGCAUCAGGUAACACGAAAUCGUACCCCAAACCGACACAGGUGGUCAGGUAGAGAAUACCAAGGCGCUUGAGAGAACUCGGGUGAAGGAACUAGGCAAAAUGGUGCCGUAACUUCGGGAGAAGGCACGCUGAUGUGUAGGUGAAGCCCCUGCGGGCGGAGCUGAAAUCAGUCGAAGAUACCAGCUGGCUGCAACUGUUUAUUAAAAACACAGCACUGUGCAAACACGAAAGUGGACGUAUACGGUGUGACGCCUGCCCGGUGCCGGAAGGUUAAUUGAUGGGGUUAGCGGCAACGCGAAGCUCUUGAUCGAAGCCCCGGUAAACGGCGGCCGUAACUAUAACGGUCCUAAGGUAGCGAAAUUCCUUGUCGGGUAAGUUCCGACCUGCACGAAUGGCGUAAUGAUGGCCAGGCUGUCUCCACCCGAGACUCAGUGAAAUUGAACUCGCUGUGAAGAUGCAGUGUACCCGCGGCAAGACGGAAAGACCCCGUGAACCUUUACUAUAGCUUGACACUGAACACUGGUCCUUGAUGUGUAGGAUAGGUGGGAGGCUUUGAAGCGUGGACGCCAGUCUGCGUGGAGCCAACCUUGAAAUACCACCCUUUAAUGGCUGGUGUUCUAACGUGGACCCGUUAUCCGGGUUGCGGACAGUGUCUGGUGGGUAGUUUGACUGGGGCGGUCUCCUCCCAAAGAGUAACGGAGGAGCACGAAGGUUGGCUAAUCCUGGUCGGACAUCAGGAGGUUAGUGCAAUGGCAUAAGCCAGCUUGACUGCGAGCGUGACGGCGCGAGCAGGUGCGAAAGCAGGUCAUAGUGAUCCGGUGGUUCUGAAUGGAAGGGCCAUCGCUCAACGGAUAAAAGGUACUCCGGGGAUAACAGGCUGAUACCGCCCAAGAGUUCAUAUCGACGGCGGUGUUUGGCACCUCGAUGUCGGCUCAUCACAUCCUGGGGCUGAAGUAGGUCCCAAGGGUAUGGCUGUUCGCCAUUUAAAGUGGUACGCGAGCUGGGUUUAGAACGUCGUGAGACAGUUCGGUCCCUAUCUGCCGUGGGCGCUGGAGAAUUGAGGGGGGCUGCUCCUAGUACGAGAGGACCGGAGUGGACGCAUCACUGGUGUUCGGGUUGUCAUGCCAAUGGCACUGCCCGGUAGCUAAAUGCGGAAGAGAUAAGUGCUGAAAGCAUCUAAGCACGAAACUUGCCCCGAGAUGAGUUCUCCCUGAGACCUUGAGUCUCCUGAAGGAACGUUAAAGACGAUGACGUUGAUAGGUCGGGUGUGUAAGCGCAGCGAUGCGUUGAGCUAACCGAUACUAAUGAACCGUGAGGCUUAACCUU
RNAcentral lists this ribosomal RNA (2904 nucleotides) under Enterobacter hormaechei. RNAcentral's name for it is "23S ribosomal RNA". It matches the Rfam family "Bacterial large subunit ribosomal RNA". The record is from RNAcentral. Lineage: Bacteria; Pseudomonadati; Pseudomonadota; Gammaproteobacteria; Enterobacterales; Enterobacteriaceae.